RNAcentral lists this long non-coding RNA (1059 nucleotides) under Oryctolagus cuniculus (rabbit). RNAcentral's name for it is "lncRNA (ENSOCUG00000035736.1)". The record is from RNAcentral. Lineage: Eukaryota; Metazoa; Chordata; Mammalia; Lagomorpha; Leporidae.
AUGCACGCCCAUCGGCUUUGUGGGCUAAGAGAGGAAGCCCUUGAACACCGUGCAGACUUCAGGAGAUCCAGCACAAGUGGUCUGCAUUUUUAUUCUGAAUUACUAGCAGCAAUCGUGAGUACGUCACACACGUCAUCCAUGGGCCAUCCUCUGCGCCGAGGAGAAUGGCCGCUCUUGGAGAAGGGGACUGGUGAGGGCAGCUCAGUGUGUCCCUGUGACACCCAGCAAGCACAGCCACAGAGCUGUGAAAGGCAGUGGUUUACCUGGCACCUACACCUGGAGAACACCUACACCCAGGAAACACCUACACCUGGAAAAUACCCACACCCAGGAAACACCUACACCUGUAAAACACCCACACCCAGGAAACACCCACACCCAGGAAACACCUGCACCCGGGAAACACCCACACCCGGGAAACACCCAAACGCACCCAGGAAACACCCACACCCAGGAAGCACCCACAUCCAGGAAGCACCUACACCCAGGAAAUACCCACACCUGGGAAACACCCACGCCUGGGAAAUACCUACAACCAGGAAUCACCAGCACCCGGGAAACAACCACACCAAGAAAUAUCUACACUCGGAGAACACCUACACCUGGGAAACACCUGUAUCCAGGAAACACCCACACCCAGGAAACACCCACACCCAGGAAACACCCACACCUGGGAAACACCCACACCCGGGAAAUACCCCCACCCAGGAAACACCCACACCCGGGAAACACCCACACCCGGGAAACACCCACACCUGGGAAACACCUAUACCCGGGAAACACCCACACCCAGGAAGCACCCACACCCAGGAAGCACCCACACCUGGGAAACACCCACACCCGGGAAACACCCACACCCAGCACCCACACCCGGGAAACACCUCACGAUGCCUUCACGUCCCAGUGCCUCUCGCGGUGAAGGCGAUGAGCCGAGGUUCGCAGAGCAGAGGAAUUCCAGUCUGCUGUGGCCACAUCAACUCCACAGACAGCGGGCGCCCGCCUGCAGGUCAGCACCCAGCCCCCGACUCUGGGGACAACGGGGCUCCUCGUCCUACUUAG